GAUUUCAUGGAGGCCCGGGGCCGCGGGCGCUGUUCUCCUUCCUGUGCCGAGUGUGGUUUGCUAUCAAGCGGUGGCAGUUCAGCCACAAUCAGGGGCAGGGGGAGGGAGAGGCCCCCCGAAGAGGCAGAGGCCCUGCCUCGGCCGCCCUGAGCCUGGAAGGUGAUUGGCUAGAGCGACUCCCGGCCGGGAGCGGAAUGAAUGGCGGGGACCGGGGCCUCUGGGUGGUGCGAGCAUCAUGUUGCCUUUUAAUAUGGAGCAUGUGCCAUAGCUCUCCAGGAGAACCCCUCUGUGUCACAGCGAACCUCAGUCACUGACACUCAAAAGAAGGAAUUAUUUCAACUCAAUAAUAAACAAAUAACCCUAUUUUAAAAUCAGCAAAGGGUGUUACCACAUUUCCACAGAAGGUAUACAAAUGGCCAGUAAUCAUGUGAAAAGAUGCUUGAUAUCAUUUGUCAUCAGGGAAAUGCAAAUCAAAACUGCAAUGAGAGGCCAGGCGCUGUGGCUCACACCUGUAAUCCCAGCGCUUUGGGAGGCUGAGGCAGGUGGAUCGCUUGAGCCCAGGAGUUCAAACCCAGCCUGACCAACAUGGUGAAACCCCGUCUCUACAAAAAAAUACAAAAAUUAGCCGGGCACAGUGGCCUGUGCCUGUAAUCCCAGCUACUCAGGAGGCUGAGGCAGGAGACUCACUUGAACCCAGGAGGCAGAGGUUGCAGUGAGCCGAGAUUGUGCCAUUGCACUCCAGCCUGGGUGACGGGAGUGAAACCCUGUCUAAAAAAACCCCAAAAACAAAAACUACAAUGACAUAUCACUUUAUAUGCACUAGGAUGCCUAGCAUCAAAAGGUCAAAUAAAACAAGUAUGUGGAGAAACUGCGACCCUCAUACACUGCUGGUGGGAAUGUAAGAUGGUGCAGAAACUUUGGAAAGGAGUCUGGCAGCUCCUCAAAAGGUAAAAGCAUGGAGUUAUCAGGUGGCUCACAAAUUCCAUUCCUAGGGACCUAAAAGAAAUGAAGACAUGCUAUACAAACACCUGAAGACAUGCUAUACUAACACCUGAAGCCAUGCUAUACUAACACCCGAACAUGAAUGUUCAGAACAGCAUCAUUCAUGAUUACCAAGAAGUGGAAAAAACCCAAAUGUCCAUCAACUAACUGACGAGUGGAUACAGUAUAUCCAUGCAGUGGAAUUUCUUUUUCUCUUUCUUUCUUUCUUUUCUUUCUCUUUCUUUCUUUCUUUUUCUUUCCUUCUUUCUUUCUUUCUUCUUUCUUCUUUUUUUUUUUUUUGAUGGGAUCUCUUUCUGUCACCCAGGCUGGAGUUCAGUGAUGCUAUCUCAGCUCACUGCAACCUCCUCCUGGGCUCAAGCGAUCCUCCCACCUCAGCCUCCCCAGUAGCUGGGACCACAGGUGCCUGCCACCACACCCGACUAAUUUUUUGUAUUUUUGGUAGAGAUGGGGUUUCUGCCCAGGCUGGUCUUGAACUUCUGAGCUCAAGCGAUCCACCCGCCUCAGCCUCCCAAAGUGCUGGGAAUACUGGCUUGAGCCACUGCGCCCAGCUAUGCAGUGGAACAUUUCUCAGCCAUAGAAGAGAAUAAAGUACUGAUACAUGCUACAACAGGGACAAACUUUGAAAACAUUAUGCUAAGUGAAAAAAGUCAGUCACAAAUGAUCACAUGUUACAUGAUUUCAUUUACAUGAAUUGUUCAGAGAAGGCAAAUCUGUAGAGAGAGAAAGAUUAGUGGUUACCUAGGUCUGGGGGUUUGGGGGAAAAUGGGAGUGACUGGUAAUGGGUAUGGGGUUUCCUUUUGAGGUUAUGAAAAUGUUCUAAAAUUGUGGUGAUGGUUUCAUGAGUAUGUGAACAUGCUAAAAGCAAUUGCCUUGUACACAUUAAAUGCGUAAAUUAUAUGGUAGAUGAGUUAUAGCUCAAUAAAGCUGUUCUAUAAAAAUAAACCACUGGGCACUGUGGCUCACGCCUGUAAUCCCAGCACUUUGGGAGGCCGAGGCAGGCAGAUCACCUGAGGUCAGGAGUUCGAGACCAGCCUGACCAACAUGGUGAAACCCUGUUUCUACUAAAAAUACAAAAUUAGUUGGGUGUGGUGGUGCAUGCUUGUAAUCCCAGCUACUCAGGAGGCUGAGACAGGAGAAUCACUUGAACCUGGGAGGUGGAGGUUGCAAAUGAGCCGAGAUCACGCCAGAAAAAAAGAAUAGGUUAACAUAGACUCAGUAUACAAGAAAGGGAAGUGUGGCGGCUCACAUCUGUAAUCCCCGUGAAGUGGGAUUUGUUUAACAUUUUUUGAAAAUCAGAAUAAAAAAGAUUAGUGCUUAAACUGAUACUCUCUAGUUAUUUGGAAAAUACAUUUAUGUAAAACAUGUGUUUUCCUAUUAUAGUCUAAAUUAGAACAUUGGAGCACCUAGCAACAUCUUAAAGCUAGUUAAACAGAAUGACAUCAUAUUUUGACCAUACUGUUUUGAAAUUGUGCAGUUUCUCUUUGUAUCUCUAGAGUGAUUCAUGAAUAUGUAUUUGGCUUCUCAAAUUAAAAAUAUUUCACUGCUAUUGAACUAUUCCUUUAAUAUCUGUAUAAAUGUUUUUAAGUAUUAUAUUUUGAGGAUUUUGAAGCUUUAGGUUUCUUAUUUAAAAUA
RNAcentral lists this long non-coding RNA (2634 nucleotides) under Homo sapiens (human). Its description in RNAcentral is "non-protein coding LINC01063:5". The record is from RNAcentral. Lineage: Eukaryota; Metazoa; Chordata; Mammalia; Primates; Hominidae.